Molecule: long non-coding RNA, 186 nt
Organism: Eptesicus fuscus (big brown bat)
Lineage: Eukaryota; Metazoa; Chordata; Mammalia; Chiroptera; Vespertilionidae
Exons: 3
Source: RefSeq, a predicted model, not a curated record
CUUGCCUCACCUUCAGGAACAAUGACCUGAGAAUGAAGAAUCAGCUGAGUGAACGGCCUGCUGCCUACAGGAGGGAGAAGAGGUCUCGGGCACCACGACAAGUGACAAUGAGACUCCUGCACAUCCUCCUCACUGCUCUCCUUACGAUCCUCCAGGUACUGCCCGACAGCACCGGGGCUCUCAAUU